Molecule: ribosomal RNA, 120 nt
Filed under: Secale cereale subsp. vavilovii
Lineage: Eukaryota; Viridiplantae; Streptophyta; Magnoliopsida; Poales; Poaceae
Source: RNAcentral
GGAUGCGAUCAUACCAGCACUAAAACACCGGAUCCCAUCAGAACUCCGAAGUUAAGCGUGCUUUGGCGAGAGUAGUACUAGGCUGGGUGACCUCCUGGGAAGUCCUCGUGUUGCAUUCCC